AUUGAACGCUGGCGGCAUGCUCUACACAUGCAAGUCGAACGGUAACAGGCCGCAAGGUGCUGACGAGUGGCGAACGGGUGCGUAAUGCAUCGGAACGUGCCCAGUCGUGGGGGAUAACUACUCGAAAGAGUAGCUAAUACCGCAUACGAUCUAUGGAUGAAAGCGGGGGACCGUAAGGCCUCGCGCGAUUGGAGCGGCCGAUGUCAGAUUAGGUAGUUGGUGGGGUAAAGGCUCACCAAGCCAACGAUCUGUAGCUGGUCUGAGAGGACGACCAGCCACACUGGGACUGAGACACGGCCCAGACUCCUACGGGAGGCAGCAGUGGGGAAUUUUGGACAAUGGGCGCAAGCCUGAUCCAGCAAUGCCGCGUGCAGGAAGAAGGCCUUCGGGUUGUAAACUGCUUUUGUACGGAACGAAACGGCUCUGGUUAAUACCCGGAGCUAAUGACGGUACCGAAAGAAUAAGCACCGGCUAACUACGUG
Molecule: ribosomal RNA, 482 nt
Filed under: uncultured bacterium
Lineage: Bacteria
Description: partial 16S ribosomal RNA
Rfam family: Bacterial small subunit ribosomal RNA
Source: RNAcentral